Oreochromis aureus is the source of this 1073-nucleotide long non-coding RNA. The record is from Ensembl. Lineage: Eukaryota; Metazoa; Chordata; Actinopteri; Cichliformes; Cichlidae.
GGCGGGGGGGGGGGGGCACCAUAAAGCAUUUGUGCUUAGGGCACCCAAAUGGCUAGCAACGGCCCUGGAAGUCAAAACUCGAGCUGUCGAGAGAUGAGGAGGAGGAGGGGCCAGACAGGAGAGCAAGAAGGUGAAAGUUCAAAGGAGGACAUGCCGGCUUUGAGGAGCCUGAGUACGGGCAAAGUGACGAUGCCCAAAGUCCAUCUUGGAUAAGAAGCAUUACCUGAUAUGUCUUCCUCUGAGCUUUCAACUUCCUGCUCUGAUGUCUGGCCUUCCUCCACCUCAUCCCCCGACAGCAAUAAGACUGACUCCCCUUCCACGGUUUGAAGUAAAAUCCCUCCUGCCUCAUCCUGCCUCCUGCUUCCUGAAGUACGGCUCAAAAUCUGAAAAUGUAUCAUUGUGUCAGCAAGUGACUGUUUCCAGAAGGGACUGCUUCCAGGCUGGAGUGGAAUUACUAGUUCUGGGGAAAUCGAAGCUUUGUGAAACACUCAAACCUUUGAAGCAUUUGUGCCACAACUGUAUCAAGGCUUCAAAACCAUCUGAAACCCAUCUCCACAGUGACAUCUGCUGGCUAGUUUGGCUAUCACUACAUCUUGAUAAUGCUUUCUGUGAAACAGUGAUGCAGACAAUAAUUGUGAUCACAUGUUACAACCAAGGAAAGGAAAAUAAUGAGACUGUUAACUGUAAUGAUAACUGUGCUAUCAUCUAGUGUUGCUCACAAUAAAUCAAUGUAUGAAGUAAACUGUCCAGAGAAAAAAAACUGCUGUGUUUACUUUACUAACCACACAGCUGUGUUUGGCCUAAGUCAGCUUCGUUUUUCGAUCACAGCACUGAAACUUUGGAUGCUGGACUUACAUUUUCUGGGAGUUUGUGUCAUCAGGUUUGUUCUACACACUGUCAAGCAAAGCUAGAAGCUGGCAUAGCUUUAGGUUUGAUUUGUAAUCAGCCUAAAAACCAUGAAGAAACUUUCCUGAACUUGACACUGGUGUAACACUUGCAUGAUGUUUUACUGUGAGUCUGGAGUUUUGGUCAUAGUGAACCUGCAUAACUCCUGUUGUUUUUGCGAUAUUAAC